This 253-nucleotide ribosomal RNA is filed under the name uncultured bacterium. Its description in RNAcentral is "partial 16S ribosomal RNA". It matches the Rfam family "Bacterial small subunit ribosomal RNA", at positions 524 to 776 of the family's 1533-position model. The record is from RNAcentral.
UACGUAGGGUGCAAGCGUUGUCCGGAAUUAUUGGGCGUAAAGAGCUCGUAGGCGGUCUGUCGCGUCUGCUGUGAAAACUCAGGGCUUAACCCUGAGCUUGCAGUGGGUACGGGCAGACUAGAGUGCGGUAGGGGAGACUGGAAUUCCUGGUGUAGCGGUGAAAUGCGCAGAUAUCAGGAGGAACACCGGUGGCGAAGGCAGCUCGCUGGGACGUAACUGACGCUGAGACGCGAAAGCGUGGGGAGCAAACAGG